This 5736-nucleotide ribosomal RNA is filed under the name Triticum aestivum (bread wheat). RNAcentral describes it as "partial small subunit ribosomal RNA". Lineage: Eukaryota; Viridiplantae; Streptophyta; Magnoliopsida; Poales; Poaceae. The record is from RNAcentral.
AUGGCCGACGCUGCCCUCGGCGUGGUGCAAUGGGUGGUGAGCAAGGCGCUAGCCACCGUCACGGAUAUCUUCCAGGAGGCUUGGGAGGGCACCAGGAUGUUUGGUCCCAACGUUGAGGCCCUCAGGAUGGAACUGCUGCUCGUCAAGGCCACGCUCGAAAAUGCUGCCUGCAAGGAGAUCAGCGGUCCAGCCAUGGAGGAGCUGUUGCAGAUGAUGCGGGACUCGGCGCACAAUGCUCAAGACUUGCUGGACGAGCUGGACUACUUCCGCAUCCAGGACAAGCUCCGCGGCACAUAUGAGGCUGCCGACGAGCACGGCGAGGGUGGUGUCCAGCACCUUGCCCGUGAUGUUCGCCACACUCGCAAAUCUAUUAGCAAACGGCUGGCAUCUUUCACCGGGUCCUGCUUUGGUGCCAAUGCUCGCCAUCCCCAACAAGAAGAUGCAAGACAACAUGUCAGCUGUUGCGCUUGGCAGCAUGCUAGGCACAUAACACGCGGCGAUUCCUCCUCUGCGCCAAACGCCAAUCAGGCUGAUCAGGAGGUCUCCCCGCAUCCACAUGUUCAUGGUAAUGAAGAUCGUGACAAUGCACCAGAAACACCAAUACCAGAGUUUAAUAGGCCUGAUUUCUCUCAAAGGAUGACUACCAUUGUAGAGAAACUGCAGCCUGUGCGUAAUGAGGUUGACAAGAUUUUGCAACGUUAUGACCGUAGAAGUGUUCUUCACAUUGCCCAGAGCCGUCCCACCACCACACCUCUGAGUGCAGAGCCAAAAAUGUAUGGGAGGGACCAUGUCAUGAAGAGUAUCAUAGAUGAUAUCACGGAGGGGCAAUACAGUGACAAGGCUCUAACUGUGCUUCCAGUUAUUGGUCCGGGGGGAAUUGGGAAGACAACUCUGAUACAACACAUAUAUAACAACCAGCAAGUGCGGAAUCAUUUUCCGGUCAGGAUUUGGAUAUGUGUGUCGUUUAAUUUCAACCUGGGUAAGGUGCUAGAACAGAUUAAAGAAUAUACCCUUGCGGCUGAAGGUGAAAAUGGGUGUAUGAGACCAGAAGAGCUGAUUGAACACAGAUUGAAAUCCAAGAGGUUCAUACUUGUAUUGGAUGAUAUAUGGCAGUUUACUAAUGUGGAUGACUGGGAAAAACUAUUAUUGAUACUCGGCAAGUCACAAGAAAAGGGCUCCAUGGUUCUAGUCACAACUCGGCAGAAAGAGAUAGCAGAUCAAGUUAAGAAAAUUGUAGAGCCAAAAGAACUGAGUGGUUUAGAACCUGAAGAGUUUAGGAAGUUAUUCCUUGUUUAUGUCUUUGAUGCAGAGCAAUAUCCCAGUGAAAAACUUCAUUUGCGUGAGACUGGAGAUAAGAUAACAGAAAAACUAAGGUGCUCCCCUCUUGCAGCAAAGACCGUUGGUAGAUUACUGAGGACAGACCCUUGUUUGGCUCAUUGGAAAAGGGUCCUAGAAAGUAAAGAAUGGGUGAAGCAGACCAAUGGCAAUUGGAUUAUGCCUGCUUUGGAGCUUAGCUAUGACUUUCUCCCUUUCCACCUGCAACAAUGUUUUUCCUAUUCUGCAUUGUUUCCUGAAGAUUACCCUUUCAGAAGCCGUGAGCUCAUCAGCCUGUGGAUUGGACUAGAUAUUUUGAUACUUGAUGGUCAAAAUCAAACACUUGAAGACAUAGGUUUCAGAAAUUUACAGGAGUUAGUCAUCCAUGGAUUUUUCAGAGAAGAGCAAAUUGAUGGUGAUCGGUGUUAUGUUAUGCAUGACCUGCUGCAUGAUUUGGCAUUGAAGGUUGCAUCUCAUGAUUGCCUUAGUUUACGUUUCCCUGAUGUUGGAUCAGUAAAAAUUCAGCCUACAACCCGACACUUGUCUAUUAGCACAGAGGACUUGGAUAAAUAUGAUGCAGUGUCUGGUGAAAAAUUAAAGACUAAAUUGGAAAAACUGAAGACAACAGUGAAGGUUGAACAUUUGCAAACACUGAUGUUAUUUGGGGAAAUGGAUGAAGGUUUUGCCAAGAUACUUGGUGAUUUUUUUGGGGAAGCAAAUGCUCUUCGUGUUCUUUAUUUUCCCCACCUGAUGUGCCCCAUGGAGUCUGUGUUACAUACCUUUUCAAGACUUGUCCACCUACGAUGCCUAUGUCUAGGAACACGGAUGAGACAGAUGCAGUUACCACCUAACAUCUCUAAAUUUUAUCAUUUAAGGGUUCUAGAUCUUGAGAGGUGGGGUGGCAGUGGUGAUUUCCCCGAAGACAUGUGCAACCUUGCAAAAUUGUGCCACUAUUAUCCCCCAAGGGAUGAUGGGCUUCAGUUUGAUAUUUAUAAUGUGGGAAAACUUAAACUCUUAGAAAAGUUAAUGGUAUUUCGUGUCAAUAAAAAGAAUGAAGGAUUUGAACCAAAGCAGCUUGAGCAUUUGACCAAGCUAUGGGAGCUUGGCAUCUACAACCUUGAGAAAAUACAUACAAAAGAGGAGGCAGCUCAAGCAAAGCUGGUUGAGAAAAAGUGCUUGAGGAGGUUAAAAUUGGACUGGGAUAGUGAGCAAUCUAGCAUUGAGCCUGGUGUGGAAGCAGUGGUUCUUGAGAGCCUUAAACCACAUGGAAAUCUUCAAGUACUGUGCAUUAGAGGGCAUGGAGGCCCUUCUUGUCCAACAUGGCUGGGUGAUGUGUGGGAUCUUCGUGAACUAAGGUUGAAGGAUAUGGCAAGACUGAAGGAGCUUAUUAUAGGGAAAAGCUUUUUCAUGCUAAUAAAGCUUGAACUCAUUGGCCUAGCAAGUUUUGAAAAAUGGCUUUACACAAGUAAACCAGAGUCUUCCCUAGGUGGAGACGUGUUGCCAAGGGAUGCUCAUAUCUUUCCUGCUUUGCAAGUGCUGAUUAUCAAAAACUGCCCGAAAAUCGAGUUUCCGGUUUCAAACAACAUUCUUUACCUAGAUUGGUUUCCCAAACUACAAGAGCUUGAGAUACGGUACUGUCCAGAAUUCUCAUUCGUGAUUCCAAUAUCCCGGAUUGAAAGUCUGCGUCGUGUCACGAUCAAAGGUGUCAAGCUACUAGAAAAAUUUGAGUACACAAAAUCAUCUGAUGGAGCAGAAUUGGAAAUUAUUGGAAAGGGUGAUCUGCAUAGCUUAGACCAAGUGUUAGUUUUCGAUGAAAAAACAAGUCUUGAGAAACUGACACUCCAGGGGUGCCCACCUCUAGAGUUAAAGCACCUUAUGAUGUUAAGCUCGUUGAAGAAAUUGAUUGUAAAAUGUUCAGUUAGUCUGGUUGGACCACUAAGAGGUCAGAGUAAUGGGAAAUGCCAUCUCCCUGUUGAGUAUAUGAGGAUCGAGUGGUUAAAAGGUAUUAGUGGAAAGGAAUUGACGGAGCUCCUCCCCCACCUCCCAAUGCUCUCCAAACUGGAAAUAAUUCGUUAUCGAAGAAGGGAAAUGAUGUUUUCACGGCGGUAUCAGCAACCAAUGGAGAUGGAGGAAGAUGAAGUAACAGCGGCAGAAGGGGAAGAUGAUGAUGGGACACUGCUCUUCCCAGCUUAUCUCUCCGACUCGCUACAGGAUGCUCAUAUGUUCCCUCUUUUGCAAGUGCUAAUUAUUAGAGAUUGGCCGAAGCUCUUGAGGUUCCCUUUCUCAAACCACAUUGUUUCCCCAGAUUGGUUCCCCAAACUACAAGAGCUUGAGAUACAAGGCUAUCCAGAAUUCUCAUGGGUGAUUCCCAUCUCCUGGAUUAACAGUCUGCGUCGUGCCACGAUAAAAAAUGUAAAGUUACUACAGGAGUUUGUGUACUCAAAAUCAUCUGGUAGAGCAGAAUUGGAAAUCGUUGGACGGGGUGAUCUGCAUAGCUUAGACCAAUUGUUAGUUUUCGAUAAAGAAACAUGUCUUGAGAAGCUGACACUGCUGAGGUGCCCACCGCUGGAGUUGAAGCACCUUCUGAAGCUAAAAUCGCUGAAGACAUUGAUUGUACACCUUUCAGAUGGUCUGGUUGGACCACUAGUAGGUCAGGAUGAUGUGGAAUGGCAGCUUCCUAUUGAGCAUAUCGAGAUCUACAACAUAAAUGGUAUUAUUGGCAAGGAUUUGACCGAGCUACUCCCCCACCUCCCGGGGCUCUCCAAAUUGAAAAUAAGUGAUUGUGAAAACAUAAAAAAGCUGGUAGUGGGGGUGGGUGUGCAACAAACAGCAUCAGAAGCAUCAGAGAUGGGGCGAGGUGAAAUCGUGUCUGAUGCAUCGCAGGCUCCUGCGGAGAAGGGGUGGGUGGAGGACGGGGGCCGGCAUCGCCCGAGGCUGGAGAAGCCAUCUGCCCUGCCCCGCAAGAAGAAGGACGACCGCUCCCUCGCAUUCAAGCGGAGAGCUUACGGACUCUGCUUUCGUUGCUUGGCGGAGGACCAAUUUGUCGCCGAUUGCCGAGUCCUUGUCACCUGCCUGGGUUGCAGCCACUCUGGCCAUCGCGAGCGGGACUGUCCGGGACGCCUUCCUGCUAGUCAAGGUCGCCACCGCUGCUCCAUGUUGCCGCCAUCUGCUCCUGGCCUCCCCAACCACCAGCCCCCAGCUUCCUCACAACAAUUGCAGCAGCGCUCGUGGGCCGCCGUGGUUGCUUCUCUGACGUGGCUCGUUCAGGAGGCCCUUUGUAGCAACUUCGGUGUCUCUGGGUCAGGUCUGUCCGAUCCCGGCAAGACUACCUUUGCUGCUGAUCUGGGGUUGCAGCAAUCCCUUUUUGCAGCACAGACCGAGACGCUGCGAGCUGAACUGCAGGCCCUGGUUACCGCCCAUGUGGAGGAGGUCGUUCAACCUCUCCGCGACAUGGCGGUCGCUCUGCAGGGAUGGGCGGCCCAGGUCUCAGGCUUCUUGGAGCGGCUGGAGGUUAUUAGUGACAGAGUUGUUGCUUCGUCGGCCAUCAUCCCUUCCUUGGUGCCGAUGGGUCCACCUCCUCCCUGGUGUGACCAUGAGGAAUCGUUGCCUCCUGUUGUUGCUUGCGGUAAGGAUAUCAGUGAUACGGGCGUGGCCGGUUGCUCAUCCGAGGUACUGGCUACUGUGGCUCUACCUGUAGAUGUUCCUCCUCAUUUGGAUCUAGCUCUGCACAGGAUGGUUACUCAAGGUGAGAAGGCACAAGCUAAGGUUGCUGAGAAAGUCAGAGGGACCGAUGAUAUGGAGCGGAGUGAGGUGUCCUUACCUGUUGGCUUGGUUGGAGAGGUGCCGCCCUUGGUCUCCUCUCCAGGGAUGACUGCCUCAGAGGGCAAUACCUAUAUGAUGUCUUCCGGGUCCGAGGAGCUACUCGGUGACACUGGAGUGCCUUCAACUAGACUAUUGGAUGAGCUCCUAAGCAGUUUCAGUUGCACAGCACCACGGUCCUUGCUUGUAGAACCGAUUCAUUUGCAGAUUGAAGGGGCAUCUACUUGUUCCGGAAGGCGUAGUAACCGUUUGGAUAAAAAGAACAAAAACUGCAACAUUCCUACUGCCAAACACGCUGAAUAUAGGUUGGCGGAGGCUUAUGUGGAACUACCGAAGGGAAUGACAUCUAAGAAAGCCACCGAGGAGGAGGUGCAAGAGAAGAGAAGAUGUAUAAGAAAUCGCUUACGCCAACGGCGGUCCAGGCAAUCCGUGCCUUGGUGGAAGUCAAUGUUUGAUCUCAUUUUUCAGAAGGUUAGGCGCAAGUACACGGCUAGUUGCAGGCAUGUUCUUGAGGUUGCAAAGGUUGACUUGGUUGGGUAUGUUGUGUUGUCGGUGGUCUUGGGCUUAGGCACCCUUGUAUCUGGCUCGGACGACGUCCCUUGA